GUUUGGCAACACAGAUAGAUACUAAAACUGUAAAUUAUACAAAGAAGAUUAGCAUGCCCCUUGCACAAGGAUGACACAAAUUCAUGAAAUGUUCCAUAUUCAA
Molecule: small nuclear RNA, 103 nt
Organism: Myotis daubentonii (Daubenton's bat)
Lineage: Eukaryota; Metazoa; Chordata; Mammalia; Chiroptera; Vespertilionidae
Source: RefSeq, a predicted model, not a curated record